GGCUAUGUAGCUCAGUUGGUUAGAGCACCGCACUCAUAAUGCGGGGGUCACAAGUUCAAGUCUCGUCAUAGCCACCA
This 77-nucleotide transfer RNA is filed under the name Pseudomonas aeruginosa. Its description in RNAcentral is "tRNA-Met". It matches the Rfam family "tRNA". Rfam says of the family: Transfer RNA (tRNA) molecules are approximately 80 nucleotides in length. Their secondary structure includes four short double-helical elements and three loops (D, anti-codon, and T loops). The record is from RNAcentral. Lineage: Bacteria; Pseudomonadati; Pseudomonadota; Gammaproteobacteria; Pseudomonadales; Pseudomonadaceae. RNAcentral also lists the same sequence under 1111 other names.